GACGAACGCUGGCGGCGUGCUUAACACAUGCAAGUCGAACGGGCCUGUCUUCUUUUUUGGGGGUGGGUUGAGUGGCGAACGGGUGAGUAUCACGUGAGUAACCUGCCCUUCGGUCCUGGAUAACCGCUUGAAAGGGCGGCUAAUACGGGGUGGUCCGGUUGGUCCGCAUGGGCUGGUCGGGAUAGAUUCACUGUUUUUGGUGUUUCGGCGGGGGAUGGGCUCGCGGCCUAUCAGCUUGUUGGUGGGGUGAUGGCCUACCAAGGCGGUGACGGGUAGCCGGCCGGGGGGAGGGGGCGGCCAAACUGGGACCGGGAUACGGCCCAGACUCCUGCGGGAGGCAGCAGUGGGGGGUAUUGCACAAUGGGCGGAAGCCUGAUGCAGCGACGUCGCGUGAGGGAUGGAGGCCUUCGGGUUGUGAACCUCUGUUUCCGGUGGUGAAGGCCCUGUCCGUGUGGUGGGGUUGACGGUAGCCGGGGAUGAAGCGCCGGCUAACUACGUG
This 499-nucleotide ribosomal RNA is filed under the name uncultured bacterium. RNAcentral's name for it is "partial 16S ribosomal RNA". It matches the Rfam family "Bacterial small subunit ribosomal RNA", at positions 28 to 507 of the family's 1533-position model. The record is from RNAcentral.